RNAcentral lists this ribosomal RNA (347 nucleotides) under uncultured bacterium. Its description in RNAcentral is "bacterial SSU rRNA". It matches the Rfam family "Bacterial small subunit ribosomal RNA", at positions 8 to 350 of the family's 1533-position model. The record is from RNAcentral.
AGAGUUUGAUCAUGGCUCAGGAUGAACGCUAGCGGCAGGCUUAACACAUGCAAGUCGAGGGGCAGCAUAAUGGAUAGCAAUAUCUAUGGUGGCGACCGGCGCACGGGUGCGUAACGCGUAUGCAACCUACCUUUAACAGGGGGAUAACACUGAGAAAUUGGUACUAAUACCCCAUAAUAUCAUAGAAGGCAUCUUUUAUGGUUGAAAAUUCCGAUGGUUAGAGAUGGGCAUGCGUUGUAUUAGCUAGUUGGUGGGGUAACGGCUCACCAAGGCGACGAUACAUAGGGGACUGAGAGGUUAACCCCCCANACUGGUACUGAGACACGGACCAGCUCCUAUGGGAGGCA